RNAcentral lists this transfer RNA (73 nucleotides) under Saccoglossus kowalevskii. RNAcentral describes it as "tRNA-Tyr". It matches the Rfam family "tRNA". Rfam says of the family: Transfer RNA (tRNA) molecules are approximately 80 nucleotides in length. Their secondary structure includes four short double-helical elements and three loops (D, anti-codon, and T loops). The record is from RNAcentral. Lineage: Eukaryota; Metazoa; Hemichordata; Enteropneusta; Harrimaniidae.
CCUUCGAUAGCUCAGUUGGUAGAGCGGAGGACUGUAGAUCCUUAGCUCGCUGUUUCGAACCCGGCUCGAAGCA